This 1252-nucleotide long non-coding RNA is filed under the name Gopherus agassizii (Agassiz's desert tortoise). RNAcentral describes it as "lncRNA (ENSGAGG00000002435.1)". Lineage: Eukaryota; Metazoa; Chordata; Testudines; Testudinidae. The record is from RNAcentral.
AGGUCAUGUAAUGACACUGUACGGGCAUCUCGAGCCUUUUAAUACCUUGAGCAGUGUGACCACCCCGUAAGCAGCGUCCAGAAUUUCAAAUGGCAUUGCAAGUCUGCUAAAACUGUCAUGCACACUCUUUAAAUCCUCUUAAGAGAAUUGGACAAAACAGAAACAGCCAACUUAAAAACAAGAAAAGAGAUGCUAACCACCUGUGAAGAACAAGAAAGGAAACAAAUUCUGAGAGCAAAGUAUAGUUGUGUGAUCUAUUUCAAAGGUUUAUACAAUGUCCAGCACCACAGUAUAUAUAUGCAUUGGAAGGAUAAAUUGAACAAUGUGACUAGUAUCUGUUACCUUUUGAAUGCUGAUUAAUGUUAAUAGACAGUAUAUAACAAACUCUGAAGCUCGAUUACUUGUGACACCACAAAACUGAAGAGUGGCAAACAGUUUCCUUCUAUAACCUUUCAAUUCAGUAACUACCUCUGCCACAUGAGAACUGAUAUGUCAUCUUAUUUUAUAAUGAUGUAUGUCCUCUCAAAUUGUCUUUUCUAAUGAGUCCAUAAAGCAUGCUUUGUGCAUCAUACUUCCAUAUUCUGGUAGAAAAGCAGGAUGUAUCUUUUUUAUUUAAUUCAAGACACUUAAUCUUUACUAGGCUUUCAUGACAUUGCUUGAUGAUUUGGGCUUCUGUUUAGCAAGUAGUCAGACUUACUUUCUUAAAGUCUCUGUUGGCUACAGAAGAAAAGUUAUUUGAAAAUGAUAGAAGAAAACUGAGAUGUUGGGUGCGAGUGGCACCCUGAAAAGCAUUGGAAGACCUCUUCCAGUAGGCACACUAUUAAUAUUUCUCCCAGUUCAUAAGAAAGCCCAUUUCUGAUACCAAAAUAGUACCAUAGCUAUGAUGCCUUAUGGAAUUUAUCUAAGUUUCUACCUAUCACCAAUUAGAAAUUGUCAAUAGAACUGGUUAUUUGCAUCUAAAUGUUGAUUUCAUGUACCUAUAUAACUAAUUAUUUAAAAUGUGUUUUACCAGGUGACUACCCGAUUUUAUGUAAAAUAGUUAUACACAUCUUAGAAGAUGUGCUCCUUUGACUUAAGUGUGUGACUUUUAUAUACUUGGGCGACUAAUGCUUUAUGUACUUAUUGUUUUUACUAACAAGUUUGUCACUAGGCACCAAGGAAUAAUUGUGAAUCUGUAAUGCAGAUCACACAAGCACUAUAGGAUCAUAGCUUACUAUUAUUAAAAAUAAAUCAUAAUUUUCUACAAAGUACA